This is a long non-coding RNA of Olea europaea var. sylvestris, 189 nucleotides long. RefSeq lists it as uncharacterized. The record is from RefSeq and is a predicted model, not a curated record. Lineage: Eukaryota; Viridiplantae; Streptophyta; Magnoliopsida; Lamiales; Oleaceae. The transcript is spliced from 2 exons.
AGUUUUAGUGGGAGCAUAUGAAUCAUAUUCAAUAACUUCCCAAAUAUUGUAAUCAAUAGAUUGAACAUAUAUCAUCAUCCUAGCCUUCCAAUAGUUAUAAUGGGUACCAUUAAAGAAAGGCGGUCGGUUUGUAGAGUGCCCCUCACUAUUUUGAAAAACUUGGUUAGCCAUUACUCAAGAUUGUAGAAU